CAGUCGCCACGGUAAUACGUAGGGUGCAAGCGUUAAUCGGAAUUACUGGGCGUAAAGCGUGCGCAGGCGGUUAUAUAAGACAGAUGUGAAAUCCCCGGGCUCAACCUGGGAACUGCAUUUGUGACUGUAUAGCUAGAGUACGGCAGAGGGGGAUGGAAUUCCGCGUGUAGCAGUGAAAUGCGUAGAUAUGCGGAGGAACACCGAUGGCGAAGGCAAUCCCCUGGGCCUGUACUGACGCUCAUGCACGAAAGCGUGGGGAGCAAACAGGAUUAGAUACCCGCGUAGUCCCUGUCUCUUAUAC
Molecule: ribosomal RNA, 301 nt
Filed under: uncultured bacterium
Lineage: Bacteria
Description: partial 16S ribosomal RNA
Rfam family: Bacterial small subunit ribosomal RNA
Source: RNAcentral